RNAcentral lists this ribosomal RNA (220 nucleotides) under Klebsiella pneumoniae. Its description in RNAcentral is "partial 23S ribosomal RNA". It matches the Rfam family "Bacterial large subunit ribosomal RNA", at positions 1439 to 1661 of the family's 2925-position model. Lineage: Bacteria; Pseudomonadati; Pseudomonadota; Gammaproteobacteria; Enterobacterales; Enterobacteriaceae. The record is from RNAcentral.
CUGUACUUGGUGUUACUGCGAAGGGGGGACGGAGAAGGCUAUGUUAGCCGGGCGACGGUUGUCCCGGUUUAAGCAUGUAGGCUGGUUGUCCAGGCAAAUCCGGAUAAUCAAGGCUGAGGUGUGAUGACGAGGCACUACGGUGCUGAAGUAACAAAUGCCCUGCUUCCAGGAAAAGCCUCUAAGCAUCAGGUAACAUCAAAUCGUACCCCAAACCGACACA